Molecule: unclassified non-coding RNA, 240 nt
Filed under: soil metagenome
Description: partial contains 5.8S ribosomal RNA, internal transcribed spacer 2, and large subunit ribosomal RNA
Source: RNAcentral
AACUGAUACUACCUGCGGGAACCUGCGGAGGGAUCAUUACCGAGUACCGGGUCUUCCAGGCCCUUACUCCCACCCUUUGUGUACCUAAACCUUUUUUUCGUUGCCUCGGCGGGGCAGAUCCCGGCGCAAGCUGGGGGACCCGCCGGGGGGACACCACCAAAACUCUUGUUAACUGUGUCGUCUGAGAAACAUUUAAUAAGUCAAAACUUUCAACAAUGGAUCUCUAGAUCGGAAGAGCAC